GGCUUCCGGCCCGGCGAGGUUUGAGCGCGUCCGCGGGCUGGGAGGCCGCUGGACCCGGGCGCAUGGCCUCCCCCGGGCAGUUAUCUCCUUGCCGCGACCUUGAGGUCUUCGACCGUGUGCUGUCCUGGAGCCAGUGAAACCAGACGAAAUUAAGGGAACAGCAGACGAAGGAACUGCCACCGUGCCCCAGACCCUGGUUUGCAAAUACAGUUCGACAAAGAUCUUGCCAGGAAUUGGCCUGGGAGAGUCCAAAGGACUGGGCUGGGGGUGGGGAAAUGAUUUUAGCCAGAAGACAAAUAUAGAGGUUGUACCCAGAAGGUUAAGAGGCUUAGGAAGGUUAAGAACUACGUUAACAUUUGGCUCCCAGGACCCCAGGUAAAGUGCCCUUGGAUUGAAUAGAUUUCUGAACUCCAGAAACAUUUAGAGGAAUCAAUAGAAUUAGAUUGGCAGCCAUUGUGCCAAUGGACAAGUGCUUACUGAGCCCCUUAAUCCCUUCACUGGGUAAGCAUUUGCCACACAUGUCCUCAAAAACCUACUUGUUAGCUUAAGUGGACUCCCUCAAGUUCAGAACAGGAGCAAAUAGUGUAAUCACAAGUUCCGUGUCUGAAUAAUCAUAACAAUGUUUAUAAAAAUAAGGACGACUGUUGAAAACUGCAACUGCAGCUGAACCUUAUGUGCCCAGACUUCAGAAUUCCCAUAGGCAAAAUGCCAGCAGGCCUUUGCACACUGAACACAUAGUGUUCAUAUCCUUCACUUUCCUUUCCUGCCCUCUCCUAUCUUCUCCAGAUCUGCCUGUGAAAGGACCCAAUUCUAGGACCCCCCAGGAUGGUUAGGCCCUUCCUCUGAAAGUACACUUUGCAAUUUGUUAGUCUCCUCAAGAACCCCAGCGAUCGAAACUGAUGCACACAAAUUGCAUGUGUUCAAAGGAGCAAUUUUGAAUCUAGCUUUGUUGAUCCUGGGAGAAAUCUUUGACCUGUGUUAGUGAAAGGCUAUGGUGUUUCUCAGCUGAUUAUAAUAGCGAGGUAGCUGAAUGCAAAAAAACAGUUUCAGAGAAUGGUAGAGUAUAUCCUCCAAAGGUGAUACUCGCUUCUCUAUUCUGGUGAGAGAAACAAGAGCUAAAGCAAAAUUCUACAGAGGGCUUUAUUUGGAGAGAGGUGGAUUUUAUUUAUAAUGCAUUUAAAAUUCAAAAUCUUUCUAGUUUGAACUCUUGACAUUCUGAUUAAUGCAUUUUUAUUCAACUGUUAAUUAUUCCUCGAUACACCUCGCCAUCACUUGUGUAUCCCUUUUCUACAUGUGACCUUUCCCUGGCCACAUCUGCUACUCUCUUUGAGCAUGAUGCCUCUACUGUAUUCUAUUCCAGAGCUCAUUGUUUUGUCAGUUUUUUUUCUCUCCACAAAAAAAGAUGAUCAAAUAAUUACAUAGAAUUUUUCCCUUCUCAGUCUUUGGGUAACUAAGUGUGGUUUUAUUGACGAUGAAAUACAAGAUGGGUCAUUUAAAAGCAACUUCUUGUCAUCACUUGGUAUUUUGCUAAAUCCACGGUGAGCUGGAGCUCCCGUAGUCACCUAUCACCGCGUGUAUUUUAAGGAGUCAGAUAUUCUCGAAACUGUUAAGAUCAUGAAAGACAAAGAGACUAAGGAACUGUCACAGAUUAAAGGAGACUAAAGAUACUUGACAACUGAAUGUAAUAUAUGACACUCAACCGGCUCCUGUACCAGAAAAAGGACAUUGGUUAUAUUGGUGAGGUUUGAAUAUCUGUAGAUUACCAAUACUAUUCUUGGUUAUGGUGGUUAUGUAAGAUUUAGAGAAGUUGAAUAAAGGAUAUAAGGACAUUUUUGUACUAUUUUUGCAACAUUUAAAAAAGUCUGAAAGUUUAAAAACUUUUUAAAAAAGAAGGAAAAAGAAACAAGGAGCAAGCAUCCAGGAAAAUAGAAAAUAGAGUCUCAUUCUGUCACCCAGGCUGGAGUGCAGCGGCACGAUCAUAGCUCACUGCAGCCUCAAACUCCUAGGCUCAAGUGAUCCUCCCACCUUAGCCUUCCAAAUUGCUGGGAUUACAGGUAUGAGCCACUGCACCCAGCCGAGAAGAAUAUUAAUGAUGAUGAUGAUGAUGAUGAUGAUGAUGUUGAUAAUGAUAUAUGGCUGGUCAGUUAAUCAAAACUAAUUCCUCCAUUGAGACAUAGUGCUGUGUUAGUAAUUAUUGUGUUUCUGGAAGCUAUGUAAAAUAUAAGUCUAAUUAAGAGGAACUAAAGCUAAGGCAAUGCCUAGUAAUUCUCAAGGAAAAACAAGGAAGAGAGUCAGAAAUGACACUUUUAAGGCCUCAGAUAUCUAUGUACCAACACCCAGAAUAUGGGUAAUAAAGGGAAUGUAAUUUUUUUUUUUUUGAGACAGAGUUUUGCUCUUGUCGCCCAGGCUGGAGUGCAAUGGCGCGAUCUCCGCUCACUGCAACCUCCACCUCCUAGGUUCAAGCGGUUCUUCAGCCUCAGCCUCCUGAGUAGCUGGGAUUACAGGCACGCCACCACCACGCCUGGCUAAUUUUUGUAUUUUUAGUAGAGACAGGUUAUUACCAUGUUGGCCAGGCUGCUCUCAAACUCCUGACCUCAGGUGAUCUGCCUGCUUUGGCCUCCCAAAGUGCUGGGAUUACAGGCAUGAGCCGCAGCGACUGGCCGGGAAUGUAAAAUUUUAAUACACUCAGGAAAAUGCAAUUUUAUAGGUAUUGUUUAGACUUGGGAGGGUGGAACUUCUGGCUGGCAUCUGGAAAACUUGAUUCAGAGAUACCAUACAGAAGAAGAGAGCAGUAAUAUGUCAAGAAGGUAUAACUAGUAAUUCAUUGGCUGGAGGGUGAAAAGCAUUCAGUGAGAAUGAAACGGAGAAAUGAAAGUGAUUAUAGUUGUAGAAGUAUACAAGAGACUUCUCAGAUUAAAAGUAUGAAUGGGGCCGGGCGCGGUGGCUCACGCCUAUAAUCCCAGCACUUUGGGAGGCCGAGGCAGGUGGAUCACCUGCGGUCAGGAGUUUGAGAUCAGCCUGGCCAACAUGGUAAAACCCCGUCUCUACUAAAAAUACAAAAAUCAG
Molecule: long non-coding RNA, 3066 nt
Filed under: Homo sapiens (human)
Lineage: Eukaryota; Metazoa; Chordata; Mammalia; Primates; Hominidae
Description: non-protein coding SLC25A5-AS1:8
Source: RNAcentral